This 244-nucleotide long non-coding RNA is filed under the name Elaeis guineensis (African oil palm). Its description in RNAcentral is "long non-coding RNA (EGUI_LNC052269)". Lineage: Eukaryota; Viridiplantae; Streptophyta; Magnoliopsida; Arecales; Arecaceae. The record is from RNAcentral.
UGUACUAGACACCAUUCCCAGCUCUUUGACCUCGGAUAAACUCUUGUUGAUUAGGAUUCAGUACGGGAUUCUUUCGGAGUAUGAGCUUGAGCUUCCCGGGCCAAUUGACCGGGCUAGCACCCCUCCCCCUAGCCGCUUUUGUUUAUACUGGGAAGCCUUCCAUGUCGGGCUUCGACUUCCACUCCCGUCUUUUGUUGUUGCUCUUUUUUGCUUUUUAAAUAUUUCUCUAGUUUCUAUAGCACCG